This 73-nucleotide transfer RNA is filed under the name Marmota marmota marmota (Alpine marmot). It matches the Rfam family "tRNA". Rfam says of the family: Transfer RNA (tRNA) molecules are approximately 80 nucleotides in length. Their secondary structure includes four short double-helical elements and three loops (D, anti-codon, and T loops). Lineage: Eukaryota; Metazoa; Chordata; Mammalia; Rodentia; Sciuridae. The record is from Rfam by way of RNAcentral. RNAcentral also lists the same sequence under 2 other names.
GGGGAUAUAGCUCAGUUGGUAGAGUGCUUGCCUUGCAUGCAGAAGGCCCUGGGUUCAAUCCCCAGCAUGGCCA